This 484-nucleotide ribosomal RNA is filed under the name uncultured bacterium. Its description in RNAcentral is "partial 16S ribosomal RNA". It matches the Rfam family "Bacterial small subunit ribosomal RNA", at positions 30 to 507 of the family's 1533-position model. The record is from RNAcentral.
AUUGAACGCUAGCGGGAUGCUUUACACAUGCAAGUCGAACGGCAGCGCGGACUUCGGUCUGGCGGCGAGUGGCGAACGGGUGAGUAAUGUAUCGGAACGUGCCCAGUAGCGGGGGAUAACUACGCGAAAGCGUAGCUAAUACCGCAUACGCCCUACGGGGGAAAGCAGGGGAUCGUAAGACCUUGCACUAUUGGAGCGGCCGAUAUCGGAUUAGCUAGUUGGUGAGGUAACGGCUCACCAAGGCGACGAUCCGUAGCUGGUUUGAGAGGACGACCAGCCACACUGGGACUGAGACACGGCCCCGACUCCCACGGGAGGGAGCAGUGGGGAAUUUUGGACAAUGGGGGCAACCCUGAUCCAGCCAUCCCGCGUGUGCGAUGAAGGCCUUCGGGUUGUAAAGCACUUUUGGCAGGAAAGAAACGUCGCGGGCUAAUACCCCGUGGAACUGACGGUACCUGCAGAAUAAGCACCGGCUAACUACGUG